UUUUGACCCACUAGGUUCAUAUCAAUAUAUAAAGUGAAAAAUGCUAAAAAAGUUCUUUUACACAGGAAUCCACGUAUACAAUCUUCUUAGGAGAAUAACAUUAGGAGAGAUAAAUAUACUAUACAGUAUACAUUGCAAACAUGAGUAAAUCAGUACUCGAGAAUGUUUCUAAUAACCAGGAAACCGCUUUAUGGUUGCAACCUACCAUUCCACAGGCCAUCUCGUAGUACCACUACAGCAAAACACAGAGAACUAUGUUUCGAGCGAUGAUGCAUCAACCCACUUGAUUCUCUUCUUCUGCUUUGUUGGUUUCACUCCCCCACCACUUUCCUUCAUUAGGGAUCCUUCUAUCCCUUGGUGAAGCGGAGUUUCCAUUCAAAUGUUAGAGUCUCUAUCAGGAACUGAAGAUCAUGGCAUCAAAUCAAAAUUUGCUUCCAAUAGAGAAUGAACUUCAGACAGGGAAGACACCUUGAAAUCUGGUUCUACAUCCAAGCUGGUGAAAUCAGCAGAACCGUAUCUCUCUUUUUCAUCAAGUAAGCAUGUGAAUGCUCCAGCUCGUUUCCCACAAGCAACAUCAUCUUUAAGGCUAUCACCAACCAUCAUGACUUCAUUAGGCUGAAAUUCCCAAGUUGAACAGAUAUGCAGGAGAGGAGCUGGGUCUGGUUUACAAGGACGGAACUCCCUGCUUAAUGCUGGAGAAAACAUCAUCCCAGACCGUAAAUGAAAAAGAUCAACCGCCUCCUUGACAUUUCGAGUAAUUAAACCCCUUCUUAUUUUCUUUGAAUCGAGAAACUCACACAGCUCUACUGCGCCGGGCAUAAUUCGGAGGCGAUCGAGGCCCUGGCGCUCAAAAUCACGGAUGAUCCCAUAAGCUUUGCGCUGUUUAUCGGGACUCCACCUCUCAAUGUGAUGCAAGAUAUCAAUCCCAGAAGGAUUCUCUGCUUUAAUUCUGCGAUACUCGUCAUUUCCGAGAACUGCCUUAUACAUUGCGGCAAAAUCGAUAACGGGGACCGUUAGGGUUCCGUCCAUGUCGAAGACGACACCUCUUAAACGAGCUCUGGUGGUAUUGACCGUGGUAGAGUGAGAAAUGGGACAUGGAGAUUUACGCUGCAUGAAGAGGAAGGAUUUGCAAAGAAGCGAGGACAUGGGAAGAAAAGAUAGAGAAGGAUAAGGAGUGGAGGCUAGAGUUACUCAACUCGCCAGAGGAAAGCGGCGACAGCGAAGGGCAGAUACUUUCUUUUUUUUUCACUAAGGACAGACACUCGGAGUCGGAGGGAACAAAGAGUGAAGAAAUUAUUAAUUUAAUCCCUAAAUUUUAUCUCUAAUGCUGUUUAAUCUCUGACUGACUUUCCUUCCGUCAAAAUUAAACUCCCUCUGUCUCAAAUUGCCCUUAAUUUAGAAAAAAAGACAAAAAUUCCAUUAAUUUAAUUAUUAAAUUAACCCAAAUUUCUCUCCUCUUUCCACUUUUUCAACUUCUUCCGUUCUUCAAAAGAAGUUCGCAGGCAAUAACAAAUUCAAACAAUUACAUCAAUUACCCAAACUGAUUACGCAUCAUGAACAAGAAUAAAUUCCAGCAAUUACCAACAAAAUCAUCCAGCAAAUCCAUCCAUUCUCCAGCAAUUACCCAACAAUGUAAUUAUCAAUCAAAGUACAAGUAUGAACAUCAAACCAUUCUCCAAGUCAAUGCAUGCAUAUCGAAACACCAAUAGAAAAGAGUAGUUGCUACCCGUCCUUGCAUUCAAACCGGCCAAAGUGGCUAUGGCAGCUCUGUCAUGCGUCGAAGCUUAAAGGAGUAAAGGCUUUUAAGUGGAUUGUAGAAGUAUAAAGCAGAGUGAAUGAUGGACGUUGUGCAUGGAGAAGGGAAAUGGUUGCAGCGGUGGGGAAAAGAGAAAAAAAUAAAAUAAAAUUAAAUCAAAGGAGAGCGAAUGGGGAGGAUAACUUCUC
Molecule: unclassified non-coding RNA, 1944 nt
Filed under: Hevea brasiliensis (rubber tree)
Lineage: Eukaryota; Viridiplantae; Streptophyta; Magnoliopsida; Malpighiales; Euphorbiaceae
Source: RNAcentral